UGAGGGAUAUUGGUCAAUGGGCGCAAGCCUGAACCAGCGACGCCGCGUGGGUGAAGAAGGUCUUCGGAUCGUAAAGCCUUUUUCCCACUGAAGAGGAAGGACGGUAGGUGGGGAAGAAGUCUCGGCUAACUACGUGCCAGCAGCCGCGGUAAAACGUAGGAGACAAGCGUUAUCCGGAGUUACUGGGCGUAAAGGGCGUGCAGGUGGCGUCUUAAGUCUGUUGUGAAAGCGCCUGGCUUAACCGGGCGAGGCCAAUGGAGACUGAGAGGCUGGAGGACGGCGGAGGGGUGUGGAAUUCCGGGUGUAGUGGUGAAAUGCGUAGAGAUCCGGAGGAACACCAGAGGCGAAGGCGGCACUCUAAGCCGUACCUGACACUGAGACGCGACAGCACGGGGAGCAAACG
RNAcentral lists this ribosomal RNA (403 nucleotides) under uncultured bacterium. RNAcentral describes it as "bacterial SSU rRNA". It matches the Rfam family "Bacterial small subunit ribosomal RNA", at positions 355 to 774 of the family's 1533-position model. The record is from RNAcentral.